GAAUAUUGACUUGACCAAAGACCAAGACUGUUGACUGAAUUUUGGAAAUUGUGUUAGCAGAAUUCCUUGGCUGGUCGCAUCCUUUUGCAUGAUCGACGGUCACUGAAUUGCCGUCAGAUUGAUAUAUUAUACGACAUUGGCUUGUAUUUUCUUGGUGAGCCUUUCUUUUUCUUGGAUUUCUCUUGAUUUGCUUGUUCCUGAACAAGGUCACAUCAUCCCCUCCUCCUUCAAAAGGAUUUGCCCUCAAAUCCGACUUAAUGUUUAGAACCUGUGACCGUGAGAGGCAGCCCCACUAGUGAUCAAAACAGGUUGCUUUUGGAGAAGUAAUCUCCUAGAGCCAUUACGAGAGAUGGAGGAGCAGUCUCGGUUUAACUUCAGAUGGAAUGAUCUCUUGUUUUCUCGUGGAUUUUUUUUUUUUUUUUUUUGUAGCAGAUGGAAAGAUGAGAAUGAUGAAUGACAGAAGUGAACACCGAACCCUCAAGUGUGCUCCUUUGUUCUUUGGAACAUCGUAAUGCUACGAGAGUGAUCUCCGUAAGCACGGUCUUGUUCACUAGUGGGGCUGCCUCUCACGGACUAAGACCAACCCAGCAAGUAUCUGGCCUUCCGCAGCCUUAUGAUGAAGAACCAUCGAUCCACCUUUCCUUUAAUCCAUCUUUGGGUCAAAGCUUAUCCUUUUCACCAACCUUCGAGUGCAUUCCUUGGGAGAUUUUCUAUUAUUUGGUAUCAGAGCACACUUGAGGGUUCGGUGUUCACUUCUGUCAUUCAUCAUUCUCAUCUUUCCAUCUUCUACAAAAAAAAAAAAAAAUCCAUGAGAAAACAAGAGAUCAUUCCAUCUGAAGUUAAACCGAGACUGCUCCUCCAUCUCUCGUAAUGGCUCUAGGAGAUUGCUUCUCCAAAAGCAACCUGUUUUGAUCACUAGUGGGGCUGCCUCUCACGGUCACAGGUUCUAAACAUUAAGUCGGAUUUGAGGGCAAAUCCUUUUGAAGGAGGAGGGGAUGAUGUGACCUUGUUCAGGAACAAGCAAAUCAAGAGAAGUCCAAAAAAAAAAAAAAAGGCUCACCAAGAAAAUACAAGCCAAUGUCGUAUAAUAUAUCAAUCUGACGGCAAUUCAGAGACCGUCGAUCAUGCAAAAGGAUGCGACCAGCCAAGGAAUUCUGCGAACACAAUUUCCAAAAUUCAGUCAACAGUCUUGGUCUUUGGUCAAGUCAAUAUUCCUAGUCAAGUCUUCAUAGUUUUAAGAGCUUUUUAGUUUCAAGGAUUGACUAGAUUAUUUAAUUUUACAGAUUGCCUAAUAUAUAAAGGUUUGCUUUGUAUUGUUUUUAUUCAUUCAACCCUUUUAAUAAAAAUCUACUUUUUAAAUUUGUUGAAUCCUUUGUUCGUUGGAACAUCGUAAUGCUACGAGAGUGAUCUCCGUAAGCACGGUCUUGUUCACUAGUGGGGCUGCCUCUCACGGACUAAGACCAACCCAGCAAGUAUUUGGCCUUCCGCAGCCUUAUGCUGAAGAACCAUCGAUCCACCUUUCCUUUAAUCCAUCUUUGGGUCAAAGCUUAUCCUUUUCACCAACCUUCGAGUGCAUUCCUUGG
RNAcentral lists this long non-coding RNA (1583 nucleotides) under Brassica rapa (field mustard). RNAcentral's name for it is "long non-coding RNA (BRAP_LNC008218)". Lineage: Eukaryota; Viridiplantae; Streptophyta; Magnoliopsida; Brassicales; Brassicaceae. The record is from RNAcentral.